CAGACCCAGAUGGCAGGCAGGCCGCCAGGGCCCUGGUCUCAUACUCCCCCUCCUAAGCCCAGCCCCUCUCUGCUUCACCAGCUCUGAAUCUGGGAGUCUCAGCCAGUGAUUAGGGCCCUAAUCAGGCAGGACUUCCUGCCAGCCACUGCCAAAGGUGGGGGCGGGGCAGGAGGGAAGCAAGGUCAACCCAAGGUGAAGUUUCACAGCCAGGGACCCAAGGAGCUCCACACCCCCACUGGUAGAUUCACUUUAGCAGCCUCCAGCACUACUCCAGCACUACUACACUGCUCCAAACCUUUGACUGCUAAGAAAGGAUACUGAGACCCAGAGAGGGAAGGGACUCAGCUGUGCGGGAGAGAGAACCAGGCCAGCCUGAGAUCUGUUGCACCAACCCUGGCACUGAACCUCAGCUCACUCCCUGAAGAGCGGUUAUGGGCCAGCUGAUUGCCUGGCCUCCUGGAGGAUGUGUUCAAGGAUAGGGAAGUCACAACUGUGAUGAAAGAGAACAGGACCAGUAAGAGGCAGCAGGCUCCGGAAUGAAUGACACCCACUGACAAGGAUUACCUUUGGCUUCUCUGCUUUGGAUGCUUGCUUGUUUGUUUGUUUGUUUUUUUGUUUGUUUGUUUGUUUUUGAGACAGGCUUUUGUGUAUCCCAAGCUAACCUUGAACUUACUUUAUAGUCAUAGAUGAUCUCGAACCACUGAUCUGUAGCCUCACGAGUGUUGGGAUUAAAGGUUUCUACCACCAUGCCCAAUUUACACAGUGCUGGGGAAAGAACCCAGAGUUGUGUGCAUGCCAUGCAAGCCUGCUCCAGCUGAUCUACAUCCUAUACAUCAAAGCACUUUAAAUCAAUGAAUUCAUUUAAACUCUA
Mus musculus (house mouse) is the source of this 871-nucleotide long non-coding RNA. RefSeq annotates it as predicted gene, 39664. The record is from RefSeq and is a predicted model, not a curated record. NCBI's taxonomy places the organism in Eukaryota, Metazoa, Chordata, Mammalia, Rodentia, Muridae. The transcript is spliced from 3 exons.